UACGUAGGGGCAAGCGUUGUCCGGAUUUAUUGGGCGUAAAGCGCGUGUAGGCGGCCACACAGGUCCGCUGUGAAAACUCGAGGCUCAACCUCGAGCUGUCGGUGGAAACCGUGUGGCUAGAGUCCGGAAGAGGAGACUGGAAUUCCCGGUGUAGCGGUGGAAUGCGCAGAUAUCGGGAGGAACACCCGUGGCGAAGGCGGGUCUCUGGGACGGUACUGACGCUGAGACGCGAAAGCGUGGGGAGCGAACAGG
Molecule: ribosomal RNA, 252 nt
Filed under: uncultured bacterium
Lineage: Bacteria
Description: partial 16S ribosomal RNA
Rfam family: Bacterial small subunit ribosomal RNA
Source: RNAcentral